Molecule: long non-coding RNA, 924 nt
Filed under: Homo sapiens (human)
Lineage: Eukaryota; Metazoa; Chordata; Mammalia; Primates; Hominidae
Description: DPPA2 upstream binding RNA
Source: RNAcentral
GCCGGUCGGCUGGCCGCACCCACGCGGCGCAGCUCCCAAAGUUGCAGACAGCCCGGCGAACCGCGCAAUGCGCUUCUUCUGCCUGCAGCAGAGAAAAGGAAAGAAAACUCCGCAGGGGCUCCGUUGGCUUCUCCACGAGUGACAACCAUGUUUUCCCAGAUAGAAGACCGGAGCCCUGCUCCUUUGCGAUCCGCCGAGGGCUGCAGAGAGCAUCCUCAUCCAUUUGGGCACCCCUGCCCAGGAAGAGCCCGGCCAUCCCUUUCCGGACUGGAUCCUUAAGAGGUGAAUUUUCUUCCGUGGAUUCCGAUUUGCUCCGUCUGACCAGCCUAGGCAAUCCAGCAUCGCGUGGUACCAGUGCCGCUGGGCACACUGGCUUCACGCCGGCUCCGCCUCACCAGCAAGCGCAUUCCCAGGUGGUCAGGCUCAGGAUGGACCAUGAGCUUUCAAAAAGGAAAAAGACCAAUGUCACCAACUUUUCCUAAGCUUUUUCUGGAGGAAAUUCGCAUUUGAAUUGAUGGACUGAAUAAAGCAGAUUGCAGUCCCCAGUGUGGAUGGGCUUGAUCCAGUCUUCUAAGGACCCAAAUAAAAUAGGUGGAGGAAGCUUGAAUUUUCUGCCUGACUGUGGCGCUGGGACACCCAUCUUCUCCUGCCCUUGAACUGGGACUGACACCAUCAGUGCUCCUGGUUCUCAGACCUUCGGACAGCAGACUUGGGGCCUUCUCGGCCUCCAUUAUUGUCUGCUUUUAGAUAUUUAACGGGAGAGGAAAAGAGAAAAUAUGAUUAAAGCCUUUGAAAGUCCAUUUCCAAGAAAUAAAAACUGCAGUAGGAAUUCUACAAAACUGAAAAAUCUUCAGGACUGGAAGAUCUAUCCAGAAAAGCCCAGUGGAUUAUAAUAACUUAUUAAAAUAUUUGUUUGGCAAGCCA